Molecule: transfer RNA, 70 nt
Filed under: Camelus bactrianus (Bactrian camel)
Lineage: Eukaryota; Metazoa; Chordata; Mammalia; Artiodactyla; Camelidae
Also listed under: 3 other names
Rfam family: tRNA
About the family: Transfer RNA (tRNA) molecules are approximately 80 nucleotides in length. Their secondary structure includes four short double-helical elements and three loops (D, anti-codon, and T loops).
Source: Rfam by way of RNAcentral
GAGGGUAUAGUUCAAGUAGAGUGCGUGCUUGGAAUGCACAAGGUCCUGGGUUCAAUCCCCAGUACCUCCU